AUUUUUACCAUAACAUGAAUUGAAAACAUCUAAAUCAAUGAUAUCAUUUCAUUUAUUUUUCUAGUAUUUUAGGUUAAAAAGCAUUAAAAAACAUAUUGAAAACAUCUAAAUCAAUGAUAUCAUUUCAUUUAUUUUUCUAGUAUUUUAGGUUAAAAAGCAUUAAAAAACACAUAAAAAAGAAAUUAAAAUGUACUAAAAAACAUUAAAGAAA
This 211-nucleotide long non-coding RNA is filed under the name Lathyrus oleraceus (garden pea). RNAcentral describes it as "Pisum sativum (pea) long non-coding RNA (PSAT_LNC016063)". Lineage: Eukaryota; Viridiplantae; Streptophyta; Magnoliopsida; Fabales; Fabaceae. The record is from RNAcentral.